AUGCACAAGCACGUACAGGUUCACACUUGCACACACAUGCACAGGCAGACACAGGUGCACACACAUGCACAGGCACACAUAGGUUCACACAUGCACACACAUGCACAGGCAUGUACAGGUUCACACGUGCACACAUACACAGGCACACACAUGUGCACACACAUGCACAGGCACAUCCAGGUUCACACGUGCACACACAUGCACAGGCACACACAGGUUCACAUGUGCACACACAUGCACAGGCACGCACAGGUUCACAUGUGCACACACAUGCACAGGCAUGUACAGGUUCACACAUGCACACAUGCACAGGCACACACAUGUGCACACACAUGCACAGGCACACACAGGUUCACACAUACACACACAUGCACAGGCACACAUGUGCACACACAUGCACAGGCACGCAGAGGUUCACACGUGCACACACAUGCACAGGCACGUACGGUUCACACGUACACACAUAUGCACAGGCAGACACAGGUGCACACACAUGCACAGGCAUGUACAGGUUCACAUGUGCACACACAUACACAGGCACGCACAGGUUCGCACGUGCACACACAUGCACAGGCAUGUACAGGUUCACACAUGCACACACAUGCACCGUCACACACAGGUUCACACAUGCACACACAUGCACAGGCACGUACAGGUUCACACUUGCACACACAUGCACAGGCAGACACAGGUGCACACACAUGCACAGGCACGCACAGGUUCGCACGUGCACACACAUACACACACAUGCCCAGGUGCACAGGUGCACAUACAUGCAGAGACACACACACACGCACAUGCUUGUGCACACGUCCCCUCCUGCUCCACAUGUCCUGGGGCCUCUACAGGCCAGUCUGGGUGGCCACAAAUGGGACUAAUUUCUGUUUGAGGUUAAUGUUCACGGCUUUGAUCCUGGGCUGGCCAGCCCGUCCCUCUGCCUUGUCCUCUACAUCUCUGUUUCUUCUUGGAGACAAGCUGUCCUGCGGGCCAGGCAGUUGUGCGUCGCAGCCGUUUCUGGGCCGAGGAGAGGCAGACCCAGGGCGGCCUCCUCAUUCAGCUGUCGGCUUCAGCCAGACGUGCUGCCGAGUUAAGUGUCUCCGACUCCCUCUGCGGCUCAGCCGGAAAGGCCUCUCGGAGCGGCAGCCGGGGGGGGGGGGGUGGCCGGAAUCCCUGAUGCAGCGGGUGACGGGGAAGUGA
This 1197-nucleotide long non-coding RNA is filed under the name Felis catus (domestic cat). RNAcentral's name for it is "lncRNA (ENSFCAG00000047012.1)". Lineage: Eukaryota; Metazoa; Chordata; Mammalia; Carnivora; Felidae. The record is from RNAcentral.